This 664-nucleotide ribosomal RNA is filed under the name uncultured eukaryote. RNAcentral describes it as "partial 28S ribosomal RNA". It matches the Rfam family "Eukaryotic large subunit ribosomal RNA", at positions 86 to 628 of the family's 3401-position model. The record is from RNAcentral.
AUGGCGAAUGAAGAGAGAAAAGCUCAAUCUUAAAAUCUGUAGGCUUUUUUUGUCUACCGAAUUGUAGUUUUAAAAUUUAUAUUUUAGAGGCUUUCUAAAUAGAAAAAGUGGAAAACACGAAUUUCCUAUCAUCGAGGGUGAGAAUCCCGUUAAUAUCUGUUUAGAUUGUUUCAUUAUUAAAAUGUAUUUUUACGAGUCGAGUUGUUUGGGAAUGCAGCUCUAAUAAGGUGAUAGAUUUCAUCUAAAGCUAAAUAUUGCAAGAAGACCGAUAGCACAAAAGUACUGUGAAGGAAAGGUGAAAAGAACUUUGAAAAGAGAGUUAAAAGUACUUGAAAUUGUUAAAAGGGAAGCGAAUGAAAUUGGUAAAAUUUUAUGUAUCAUUUGAAUUCAAUAAGUAAGAGAUUACUUGUGUAUAUUCUUUUGAUAUGUAUCAUUGGGUCGUUGGAGAAAAGUAAAAGUUUCUUGGAAAGGUGAUGAUUUAUUUGGGAAACCAAGUAAUAUUGUGUUAUAUUCCAGGAGUUUCUUCUUUAAUCUAGUGAAAGGAAAAAAAGGAUCAGGUUCUUUUUAUUAAGAGCCGUAGUCUAUUAUUUUGAAAUAGGAGGAUUAGUGGUUUAGAUCUAAUUUUUUAGUCUAGGUUGUUAAUUUUUUUAUUUUGGUUUAAAGA